AACGAACGCUGGCGGCAGGCCUAACACAUGCAAGUCGAACGCCCCGCAAGGGGAGUGGCAGACGGGUGAGUAACGCGUGGGAACCUUCCCAGUGGUACGGAAUAACUGACCGAAAGGUUGGCUAAUACCGUAUACGCCCGAAAGGGGAAAGAUUUAUCGCCAUUGGAUGGGCCCGCGUCGGAUUAGCUAGUUGGUGAGGUAAUGGCUCACCAAGGCGACGAUCCGUAGCUGGUCUGAGAGGAUGACCAGCCACACUGGGACUGAGACACGGCCCAGACUCCUACGGGAGGCAGCAGUGGGGGAUAUUGGACAAUGGGCGCAAGCCUGAUCCAGCCAUGCCGCGUGAGUGAUGAAGGUCUUCGGAUUGUAAAACUCUUUCGCCGGGGAAGAUAAUGACGGUACCCGGAGAAGAAGCUCCGGCUAACUUCGUGCCAGCAGCCGCGGUAA
RNAcentral lists this ribosomal RNA (447 nucleotides) under uncultured bacterium. RNAcentral's name for it is "partial 16S ribosomal RNA". It matches the Rfam family "Bacterial small subunit ribosomal RNA", at positions 29 to 523 of the family's 1533-position model. The record is from RNAcentral.